Molecule: ribosomal RNA, 207 nt
Filed under: uncultured Acinetobacter sp.
Lineage: Bacteria; Pseudomonadati; Pseudomonadota; Gammaproteobacteria; Moraxellales; Moraxellaceae
Description: partial 16S ribosomal RNA
Rfam family: Bacterial small subunit ribosomal RNA
Source: RNAcentral
CGCGUAGGUGGCCAAUUAAGUCAAAUGUGAAAUCCCCGAGCUUAACUUGGGAAUUGCAUUCGAUACUGGUUGGCUAGAGUAUGGGAGAGGAUGGUAGAAUUCCAGGUGUAGCGGUGAAAUGCGUAGAGAUCUGGAGGAAUACCGAUGGCGAAGGCAGCCAUCUGGCCUAAUACUGACGCUGAGGUACGAAAGCAUGGGGAGCAAACA